This 1611-nucleotide ribosomal RNA is filed under the name Triticum aestivum (bread wheat). RNAcentral's name for it is "partial small subunit ribosomal RNA". Lineage: Eukaryota; Viridiplantae; Streptophyta; Magnoliopsida; Poales; Poaceae. The record is from RNAcentral.
ACUGCCUGGGUGCCCCUUGUACCGGGUCCGUAGUCGGAAUUCCCGGUUCGUACUCGCACCCUCUUCGUGGGAGCGUUGGGGGAGGCGAGGGAGGGGCGGUAUAUUAUGCGCGUCGGGACACGAGAGGGUUGCUAGGGUGGUGGCUCAGAAGCCUAUGUAGGUAGGUGUCGGUCUAGACGAGAGGGGAGAGAGAGCUAGGUGUCUUUAGCGUUAGCUGUGGCUCUAGCGGUUCUGGCAGCUGCGGUACCGCGUCUCCCGCGACCUCGACUGGGACUAUAGCCCGUUCCUGGAGUUCCUGCACUUGGAGAAGAGCCGGUACCUCCACAUGCGCCAGCAGAGGGAGAGGCCGCUGGGCGCGAGCGCGGUCGCGCAGCGGUGGCUGGCGCGGCCGCCGGCGUUGGGCUGGACCUUGCGCUGACAGGCCAAGUGGCAGGGGCGGUUGCGGCGCCCCAGGCAGGUGCACGACGAGGCGCGGCUCGCGCGGGAGCCGCUGGCGCUGCAGCCGCUCCAGGUGUAGGGCGAGAGGCUCGACGAGAGGCCGCGGGGACUCCCGGGACAAGGCCAGUUCAAGCAGCGGAUGGUCCAGGCGUUCUAGCCCAGGCCCUUCGGGGUCCCCCAGGAGUUGAAGAGCAUAUUCGAGCCGCUCCACUGUGUCCCGGUCCGGCGACCGCGGAUGCCACCACGCGUCCGGCGCAUGCGCGUCGGAGGGGGGCGGCGGCGCAUGGGCGGCGUCCCGCGCAUAGGAGGCCGGCCGUUCCGGCUGCGGAUGCCCCGAGGCAGGCGGAUAGGUGGCGGACCAUUGCGCAUGGGCGGAGUCAGGCGCAUGGGCGUCCGCCGGUUCCGGCUGCCCCGUCGUUGGCGACCACGGAUGGGCGGAGGGAGGCCGAUGGGUGGGCGACCGUUCUGUCCGCUCGGUAGGUGGCGGAUGGGGCGUGGGCGGCCGAUGGGUGGGCGACCAGGCAGUCCUUUCGGCCGCUUCCGUCCGCUCGGUCACUGCCGGAUGGGUCGCCGGCGCCGCCCUGGGUCGUGGCCGCGAGGGAUGCCGCGGGGCGGGGGCGUCAUGCCGAUGCCCAUGGGUGGCGUCGUCGGCCGGCCCAUGCCGAUGGGCGGGGGCGGCGGCGUUCCUCCCAUGCCGCCGAUGCCGAUAGGUGGUGUCGUCGGGCGGCCCAUGCCCAUGGUCGUCGUCCGGCACUUCGGCGGCUUCUUCUCGCCGUACCCCUACCCGGAGCCGCGCCCCGAGGAGCCUCCGCGCGAGCCGCCCGAGGAGUAGCCGCUGUACUAGAGGCUGAGGCGGCCGCCCAUACUACGGCCGAUGCUGCGGCCCAAGCUGCUGCCGCCACCGAAGCUAAAGAUCUAGCAGCCCCUCCUAGCCUACACGUCGUCGUGUCAAGAAAACAUGCGAGAACCAUAAAUAAGUCAAGAAAGCAGAAGUCUAAAAGGCGAGUUUUAGCGGCCGCGGAGACACGCGACGAUCACACUAUACCAUUACAUUUAUACUCAAAAUUGUACUAUACAAGACAUUUAAAGACAGAGAUAACCCGAGCUUAGCGACUAUUAAACCGGCACAACAGAAACACGAGUAAGUAAACUAUGCAAACUAGUUUGAAACGC